AGUCCCUCUGAACUAAGCCUCCUUAGCAAGCUGAAUCCAUGAAGAGAGGCCAUUCUAGUCUUCAUGGUGGAAUAAUUUCCACGAAAUGCUUUGGACAUGUUGAGGACUCUGACUCUGUAAUUCUGAGACAUUGGGGUCCAUUAUUUCUGAAGAUGGGUACACCUGGAUUGAUUUAAAAUGUUAUGGAAGAAUUCAGAUCCAGUGCCCUUCUUCAUUCCAGACAUGGUGCUUUGAACAAUUUGACUUGGAGGCAAGAUUGCGAUAUAGAAAAUGGGCCACUGUGGAGGAGAUAAGUAAAUGCUUUGUCGCUUCUAAGUGACAGGGGAAACUGAUCACGAUUGGUAUACUUCUGACAUGUAACUUUCUAUAUCUUUAGAAGAUCGUCAGGGAAAUAGAAAAAAAAAUCUGAAAUCUCCAAGUAGGUUCUACUUUGUGUGGUUCCAACUAAAUGAACUAAAUUUGUGUUUAAAGAUUGUAAGUC
Molecule: long non-coding RNA, 481 nt
Filed under: Homo sapiens (human)
Lineage: Eukaryota; Metazoa; Chordata; Mammalia; Primates; Hominidae
Description: HSALNT0339617
Source: RNAcentral